This 342-nucleotide unclassified non-coding RNA is filed under the name Hevea brasiliensis (rubber tree). The record is from RNAcentral. Lineage: Eukaryota; Viridiplantae; Streptophyta; Magnoliopsida; Malpighiales; Euphorbiaceae.
UUGCUCAAGAAUGUUAAGAAUGAGGCAAAGAUAUUUCUUGAAGUUCCAAUGCAAACUUGAUGUAAUGUAACUACUGUAUUUUGGUUAUUCCAAAUAGAUUUAGUGGCAAUAUUGAAGUAUUGAAUUUAGUGGCAAUAUUGAGAUACUGAACUAUCAUGAUUAUCGAUCCUUUAUCAAACAAAGAAGCUAACAUGAUUCUUUUUCUUCAAAUGCUGAUGGUAUUUGUGAAUGUGGAUAUUUUGCUAAUCCAAUCCAUAAUAAUUUGAUAUAGUUUUUCCAACUUAAGGGAGAGUGAUAUAGCUGCUUAAUAUGUUAGGAAAGGCCAGAUUCAAGGACUUUGAA